GAUUGAACGCUGGCGGCAGGCUUAACACAUGCAAGUCGAGCGGGGGAAGUUGCUUCGGUAACUGACCUAGCGGCGGACGGGUGAGUAAUACUUAGGAAUCUGCCUAUUAAUGGGGGACAACAUCUCGAAAGGGAUGCUAAUACCGCAUACGCCCUACGGGGGAAAGCAGGGGAUCACUUGUGACCUUGCGUUAAUAGAUGAGCCUAAGUCGGAUUAGCUAGUUGGUGGGGUAAAGGCCUACCAAGGCGACGAUCUGUAGCGGGUCUGAGAGGAUGAUCCGCCACACUGGGACUGAGACACGGCCCAGACUCCUACGGGAGGCAGCAGUGGGGAAUAUUGGACAAUGGGGGGAACCCUGAUCCAGCCAUGCCGCGUGUGUGAAGAAGGCCUUAUGGUUGUAAAGCACUUUAAGCGAGGAGGAGGCUCUUUUGGUUAAUACCCAAGAUGAGUGGACGUUACUCGCAGAAUAAGCACCGGCUAACUCUGUGCCAGCAGCCGCGGUAAUACAGAGGGUGCGAGCGUUAAUCGGAUUUACUGGGCGUAAAGCGUGCGUAGGCGGCUUUUUAAGUCGGAUGUGAAAUCCCCGAGCUUAACUUGGGAAUUGCAUUCGAUACUGGGAAGCUAGAGUAUGGGAGAGGAUGGUAGAAUUCCAGGUGUAGCGGUGAAAUGCGUAGAGAUCUGGAGGAAUACCGAUGGCGAAGGCAGCCAUCUGGCCUAAUACUGACGCUGAGGUACGAAAGCAUGGGGAGCAAACA
This 755-nucleotide ribosomal RNA is filed under the name Acinetobacter sp. A-71. Its description in RNAcentral is "bacterial SSU rRNA". It matches the Rfam family "Bacterial small subunit ribosomal RNA", at positions 27 to 774 of the family's 1533-position model. The record is from RNAcentral. Lineage: Bacteria; Pseudomonadati; Pseudomonadota; Gammaproteobacteria; Moraxellales; Moraxellaceae.